GUAACCAUGACAUACUCGUUCC
RNAcentral lists this microRNA (22 nucleotides) under Monodelphis domestica (gray short-tailed opossum). RNAcentral's name for it is "mdo-miR-7392-3p". The record is from miRBase by way of RNAcentral. Lineage: Eukaryota; Metazoa; Chordata; Mammalia; Didelphimorphia; Didelphidae.